This 468-nucleotide ribosomal RNA is filed under the name uncultured bacterium. RNAcentral describes it as "partial 16S ribosomal RNA". It matches the Rfam family "Bacterial small subunit ribosomal RNA", at positions 28 to 507 of the family's 1533-position model. The record is from RNAcentral.
GACGAACGCUGGCGGCGUGCUUAACACAUGCAAGUCGAACGGAAAGACGCUGCUUUUGUGGGGUUCUCGAGUGGCGAACGGGUGAGUAACACGUGAGUAACCUGCCCUUGACUUUGGGAUAACUUCAGGAAACUGGGGCUAAUACCGGAUAGGAGCUCCUGCUGCAUGGUGGGGGUUGGAAAGUUUCGGCGGUUGGGGAUGGACUCGCGGCUUAUCAGCUUGUUGGUGGGGUAGUGGCUUACCAAGGCUUUGACGGGUAGCCGGCCUGAGAGGGUGACCGGCCACAUUGGGACUGAGAUACGGCCCAGACUCCUACGGGAGGCAGCAGUGGGGAAUAUUGCACAAUGGGCGGAAGCCUGAUGCAGCAACGCCGCGUGCGGGAUGACGGCCUUCGGGUUGUAAACCGCUUUCGCCUGUGACGAAGCGUGAGUGACGGUAAUGGGUAAAGAAGCACCGGCUAACUACGUG